CCCUGGGUGGCUCAGUUGGUUAAGCAUCUGACUUCAGCUCAGUUCAUGAUCUCACUGUUGUGAGUUCAAGCCCCACUUCAGGCU
RNAcentral lists this transfer RNA (84 nucleotides) under Felis catus (domestic cat). It matches the Rfam family "tRNA". From Rfam's summary of the family: Transfer RNA (tRNA) molecules are approximately 80 nucleotides in length. Lineage: Eukaryota; Metazoa; Chordata; Mammalia; Carnivora; Felidae. The record is from Rfam by way of RNAcentral.